AUGUUACUAUCUUCUCCUCAUCGCGAAAGACAAAGAGGAUCACCAAUCAACAACAGAUUCUCCAUCACUACAAAAUACUACAUCCUUCCUAAAAUAUAUGACGUUUUUUCAGUUCAAUUUGAACUGAAAAAACAUCUUAUAUUUUGGAUUUUUGGAUUGAGGAAGUAUAAGAUGUCAAUAUGUUUUUUUAUGCAUAAUUAUCUCCUGAUACUAUCUGAGGUGUGUACAUAUGCUAUACUAAGUGCUUGCAUACAAUAUGUCUUUUGUUAUGAUAUUGUUCUUAAUUUUCCUCUCAACUCAAGGACAAAUGUGAUUAGCAUAACUAACAUAUUAGGGUUCUCUAAAACUAUAUUCGUAUUUUAUUCUUUGCUUCAUUAA
This 378-nucleotide ribosomal RNA is filed under the name Triticum aestivum (bread wheat). Its description in RNAcentral is "partial small subunit ribosomal RNA". Lineage: Eukaryota; Viridiplantae; Streptophyta; Magnoliopsida; Poales; Poaceae. The record is from RNAcentral.